UGCCUGCGGGAGCGCGCGGGCCGGCGCGAGGAGCCGGGCGCCUGCAGCGGCGGGCCCGGCGCGGUUGCUAGGCGACGGCGCCCGGCAGCGGCGCUGGCCCGGCUGGGGCGCGGGCAGCGAUGAGGCGGCGGCAGCGCCGGCCCCCGGGCUCUCGGCAGCGCUGAGCCCCGCUCCGCGCCUUCCCCUCGCGGCCCGCCCUGGCUUUGCUCCACCGCCCCCAUCCUCCUCCGCUCCCCUCGCUCCGGCCUGCCCUUCCCCCUCCAUGCGGCGGGAGCGGCCGGAGUGGGGCCCCCGCCGCGGCCGCGCCGAGCCCCGCCGUCCGUCGCCUCUCCGCCGCCAGAGCCCGCAGGGAGCCGCGGGCGGUGUCUGCAGCGACAGCAGCGGGGACUUCAUGUUGGUGUUGUUUAUGCCAGAACACAGUAAGCAAGGCGAAUUACCUUCAGCCCCGUGUAAACCUUCAGCUGGCCAACACAAUGUGAUCGAGCAUGAAUUCCGCGUGGCUUUGGAAAUGAAAGAGAACUGAGCGCUCUGGCUGGAAGCUGAACGUGAUGACGGCCUGGUCUAUGGUAGGGAAGCUGAAAAUGGAGAAGAGGCGCUCCAGAAAAGCCAGAAACGUGGAACAAGAUGCUGGGGAGUGCAGUGCUGAAUCUGAGGAAUGGACGAGCUCAGACAGUGAACCUGAGCAGCCGUACUUCAGGAGCAGCUGCAGCAACACUCCGUGGAGAGAAAAGGAGGUUCCCGCUAAACCACAUCGGCCGCUCUGUCGGUCCCCUUGUUUGGAUCGCCCAAGCUUUUCGCAGAGCAGUAUUACACAAGACUUGAAGCUAGAUGAAUGCAAAACAAAUUUGGACAAGGAAUACCAAGCUAAAAUGGAUUUUGCUUUAAAGCUUGGGUAUGCAGGAGAUCAGAUCCAGGCUGUACUGAAUAAAUUGGGAGCAGAUGCGCUCAUCAAUGAUGUUCUGGCAGAGCUUGUGAGACUUGGCAACAAAAGUGAAUCGGAGGGACAAGGCAGUGGCAGCAGUGCCACUGGUGCUCUGGUGCCCCGAGGCCCUUGCCCAAAGGAGAUAGCGAGCCCUGAACUGUCGCUGGAGGAUGAAGUUGUGGACAACAGUGAUAACCUGAGGCCGAUUGUCAUUGACGGGAGCAAUGUGGCUAUGAGCCAUGGGAAUAAAGAAGGAUUUUCCUGUCGGGGAAUUCAACUGGCUGUUGACUGGUUUCUGGAAAAAGGACAUAAAGAUAUCACUGUGUUUGUACCUGCAUGGAGAAAGGAGCAGUCUCGACCUGAUGCACCGAUUACAGAUCAAGAAAUCUUACGUAAAUUGGAGAAAGAAAAAAUCCUUGUUUUUACCCCAUCUCGAAGAGUUCAGGGAAGAAGAGUAGUUUGCUAUGAUGAUCGAUUCAUAGUAAAACUUGCUUUUGACUCGGAUGGCAUCAUUGUAUCAAAUGACAACUAUCGGGAUCUUCAAAAUGAAAAGCCAGAAUGGAAGAAGUUCAUAGAGGAACGGCUGCUAAUGUAUUCGUUUGUGAAUGACAAGUUUAUGCCUCCUGAUGAUCCUUUAGGACGCCAUGGUCCAAGCCUUGAAAAUUUCUUAAGGAAAAGGCCAGUUAUUCCUGAACAUAAGAAACAACCAUGUCCUUAUGGUAAAAAGUGCACCUAUGGGCACAAAUGUAAAUAUUACCACCCAGAACGGGCAAACCAGCCUCAAAGGUCAGUAGCGGAUGAACUUCGAAUAAGUGCCAAAUUAUCUGCUGUGAAAACUAUGAGUGAGGGAGCCUUGGCCAAAUGUGGCACAGGGCCGUCCAGCUCCAAAGGAGAAAUCAGUUCUGAAGUGAAACGCAUUGCCCCAAAACGUCAGUCAGAUCCGAGCAUUAGAUCAGUAGCUGUGGAGCCCGAGGAAAAGUUGUCAGUAGCACGCAAGUCCGAGGCCAGCUCUGUCCCGUCUCUGGUGACCGCACUGAGUGUGCCAACGCUCCCUCCACCAAAAAGCCAUGCAGCUGGUGCGUUAAAUACUCGUUCGGCAAGCAGUCCGGUGCCAGGUUCCUCACAGUUCAUGCAUCAGAAAUCCUCACUGGAACACAUGUCCAGUGUGCAAUAUCCUCCUAUACUAGUCACCAAUAGUCAUGGCACCUCAGUUAGCUAUACUGACCAGUAUCCCAAAUACGAAUCGUUGGGGGACCACGGCUAUUAUUCCUUACUCAGUGAUUUCUCCAACUUGAGCAUAAGUAGUAUCCGUAACACAGAUUAUUACGGGGCUGAUAUGGACCAGGGGAUGUAUUCUAGAAACUCAAGCCCCUGUCCUGACAAUUGCUUAAGCCAUACAAGUAAUGAUUCUUAUUCCUCUUACAAUGACUUGUAUCUGGGUGUAGCAGAUGCCAGUCCAGAAGACAAUGUGAAGAUCCACAGACUGCCAUCGCAAAAUCGUCUUCAGCCUUUUUCCCAUGGUUACCAUGAAGCCUUAAAUAGAGCUCAGAGUUACGGAGCUGAGGAGCCCAAGCAAUCCCUUCGCAAACAGUCAGUGUCCCACUUAGGCCUACAUGCCCAGCAUCCAGUUGUUGGAGCACGGUCCAGUUGUCCAGGGGAAUAUGCUGUGCCUCAAAAUGUUCAUCCAUCGGCUGCGCAACCAAGCCGUGCCUUGGUCAUGACCAGAAUGGACAGUAUUUCUGACUCACGACUCUACGAAAGUAACCCCGCGAGGCAGAGACGGCCACCGCUCUGUCGAGAGCAGCACGCGAGUUGGGACCCGCUGCCGUGUGCAUCAGACUCCUACACCUACCACUCGUAUCCGCUGAGUAACAACCUCAUGCAGCCAUGCUAUGAACCCGUCAUGGUGAGAAGCAUGCCUGAGAAGAUGGAGCAGCUCUGGAGACAUCCCUGGAUUGGGAUAUGUGGUGAGCCACGGGAGCCCCAUAUCAUUCCAGAGCACCAGUAUCAGACGUACAAGAACCUCUGCAAUAUUUUCCCUCCCAGCAUUGUCCUUUCUGUGAUGGAAAAGAACCCCCACAUGACAGAUGCGCAACAGCUGGCAGCUAUGAUUGUUGCCAAAUUAAGAACAGGGCGUUAAAGCAUUACAGCUUGUUUUGGAUAAAUGGAAAUAUACAGCGUACAGGACCCGGAGGAAAACUAAUAUGAAGAAGGAAGAUGCAAAUCUAUUGUAAAUAUUUUCUACUAAGAUAGUAUAAAAUUCUGUACACGGUAGCAAGCAUACAUAUGCUGAGGCACUACACAAGAGUUGAUUGUAUUGUAAAUUUUAAGAUUUUAAAUAUAGGGAUUUCUAGUGGUAUUUUAUAGGAAAUGCAUACCUUGGUGCAUGGAUAGCUCAUUAAAAACUACAAUGUCACGUUCCGUGUCUCAAAGCUGUUACUACAAAAUUAUUGUUAGCAAUUAUACUGCAUGGUUUAGUGUACACUUUCAAUUUGCUUACAAGUACCUAAUCGGCUUUAAAGGUAUGCUCUAUGCACGCCCAGAUGACCCAGGGUUUCAGCUUUGUCAUUUGACACGGCCUACUGGCAUAUUAAAUAUUGGAGAAAAAGUAAACUUGACAAAAAUUAAAAUACUCAGUUUGUAAAAGGAAAGACUGAUUUCAGCUUUUGAAUGUCAGUAUUGUUGGCACUUAAAUUUCAAAACUGUUCCCCAAGACUGUCUGUUACAUUGUCCAGCAUGUUGGCUCAAUCCAACAGAAGCCAAAUACUUUAUUCAGUUAGGACCAAAACAUUGAGUGUGCGGGCAUGAGCGCCUUUCAGCGAACCGGGCUGUUGGGCUGCAGCUCCUCUCCGCAGAGCGGCCGCGGGCCCGGAGCAGCGCCCGGCGGCGCUGGGAGCUGGGGCGGAGCUGGCGGCCGCUGGGCGGGCUGUGGGGAGGGGCGGGGCAGCUUCUGGGAAAGAGCCGCUGCGGUGGGAGCUGUCGGAGCUGGCCCGUGCUCUCCAGGUCCAAGGGUGUGCAUUUGCCUCCCGAGGGCUCUUAGAGUUCCUGUUUCGACAGGCUGGCAUUCCAAGCCCGAGACCAGAUGUCAUGACCAAACACGUGCGGUGUGCUGAAGGGACCUGCCACCACAGCGGGCCAGCCCCCCCAGGGUGACCACAGAGCAGGCGCCCCCCGCUGGUUCAGCGCACGCCAGCCCCGGCAGCACAGCCACAGCUGUGCCUGCACAGCAUCGUCCCAGAUAUAUAUAGAAACAUAAAUAAAUAUAUAGAGAGAGAGUACACUGCUCCUGGAGCCUCAGAUCACUCCAGACAGCGCUGCAAUGAGCAGACCGAGCAGCUGGGAGCUGCGGCCAUUUGGGAUCCGGGUACAUAACAGAUGUGCUCAGCACUGACUGAGCAUCAAACAUGGACCUGCGGCCGCCACAGAGACUGGAAAAAUCCUGGUGCAAAACCAACCAGCUGGAAACCUCCUCAGCGAUACACUAUAUUGCAGUAUUAGAGUCCUGUUAACAGAGUUCCUGUGACACGUUUCAAGUAAGUAAAGCUCUUCUGUGCCUCUGUUCCUGGAGUGAAACACUCAGUUUGCCAGUUUAAACAGUUCUAAAGAGUUAGGAACAGAAAACAAAGUAUUACUUACUACUUUUGUCUAAGUUUAGAAGGCAUGGGAAUCCUGUGAUGGGAUUAAAAAAGGCCGGCAAGACGACGUGUCUUGUAAACACAGGCUUCUGUUAAGUGAGGAAAUAACUGGGAACAGGGCACUCCUAACAAGUUGCAUGUAACAUAUUUAUUUGUUAUCUGCUACUGUUAUUUGCUACAACUACUAUAUAUCUGGAAAAAAAUGGCACUUCAGGGCCCGAUCUUUCGUGGGAGAUGGGCUUUUCCUAUCCUGAGGAGGCUGCAGCAAAGUUGUCAGUAACAAUUCCAAUUUUGUGCUAAGAAAUGCAUGACAUACAGAAGCUGCAGGCUGAAAAGUUUAAGAAAUGCAAAAAUAAAAGCUCUAUGUUCAAAUGCUAAAAUGUAGUAACUAGGUUAUUGUGCUUUCCAUCUAAAGCUCACAACACUCUCCCAAUUUUCGCAAUAGUACAGAAAAGACUCAUCUUUUUACACACAGAAACCGCCGACGUGCUCACCAGCGUUCACUCUGGCAAUGCCAGUCAGCAGCUCAGAAAUCCAGUUGAUCAGGAACUGGGGCCGCAGCUCUGAAGAGUCAGAACAUUCCUUCAGCUCCAUGAACAUUUUCUCUAUUAGGGUCUGUGUAAAACUUCGGGAAAGGAGGCCUGUGAGCAACGGCUGCCAAAAGCAGUAAAACGUCUGGGGAAUUCUGAAUUGCCAAACCUCUUUAUUUGCUGCAAUUAAAAAAAAAAGAUAAGCCCAGAAUCUCUGGUUUAUAAUUUUUCUCUUCUCACAGGUAUGACAUGUUUUGCAAACUUAAGCAGCUUGUUCUGAGAUCACUGGUUCGAGGGGGCUUCCGGGGACCCCGCUGAACCUGGAACUAUUCUUUUCUUAUGCUAGGGAAGUAAAAUAAGCAGCAAAUUGAUAAUUAACACAACAGCUCAAUGAAAGUAAAAAAUACAAUGCCUGAUCUAAUAACAUGGUAAACUGCAGGAAAAUCUGUUUUCCUAAUCCCUUCCUAGUCUCAGCUUAUUUCACAUGUAAUUCUGUCUAAAAAUAUACUGCCCAAAGAAAGCCCAUUGAGCAAAGCAACACGGAGUCAAAAAACUCCUACAUUUUUACUACUGUUAUACAAUCACAGAAAUGUGAGGAUCUGUCUUGGAAAGCUCUUUGGCUGUUGUUUCAAAGAGCUCCCAGGGAAACACACAAAUUAUUAAUUUUCAUUGCCUCUAGGUAUCUAAGCCUCUUGCAGAACAUCCAUGCAGCUCCACACGUACGGGCAGCAGCACGGAGCUAAGAUGCAACUGGUGAACAAGCCUAAAAAAACCAAAACCCAACACCGUAGAUUUGCUUCAAAUUUUCAAUGUAGAAAAGAAACUAGAGAAAUCAGUAACUACGGCAGAUAAGGGCAGAGACGAAAACUUCAGGAGACGGUUUGGCCAGGCAGCAUUCAGUGCUGCAGAGCUCUUCCAAGGAGAGAGAAGUACCUAAUAACAGCAGCUAAGCGUGGCCAUAAAGUGGUCUGGAGAAGAGGUCAAAAGAUGUUUAAAGACCCAGAUAUAUGAAAAAUACACAGAGAAUUACAGUUUUCAAUACAAUGAGAAAAGGAAAAACCUGAACCAACUUGCACACAACACUAGCUAUGGUGGUGACCAAAUCACUAACCUUCAUACUUGAUAUUGAGCAUCUUCAGACAUUCCAUCUUGGGGAUGAGAAAGCCAUCGCUGAGAAGAGCUUCAGCCACGGCCUCCCUAGAGCAACCAGAGUCUCAUUAAUGCCACUUACGCCUCCGGAUUCCAAACCGCCGCUUGUACCAGAGAGGCCCCUGGGGCAGCACCAGCCCAGCUGCAUUUGUGAUGCACAACAGACUCCACAGGAUGGAACGGUAAACAGCUGCAGCACUUCAGGACAGAUAUGAAGCAAAGCAGAAGCAAUUACCACUAUGGUACUCAAAAAACAACUUCUAGGAACCUCUGUGUUCACUUACAUAAACAUAUACACACAGCCAUAUGUUUAAAGCUUGUGGGGUUGAAGUAAAAGUGACUUCAUUAUAAGCACUUGCACACUCAUUGCUGCUUUGGUAGCAUAAUAAUAUUCAUCUUCUUGAACAAAUGUCAUGGUUGAGAAUGGAUCAGGAGCAGCAGCUACAGAGGGCAGAGCUUUUAUUGAACUUCUGAAGAAUCACAGAAUCAUUUUGGUUGGAAAAGACUUUUAAGAUUAUAGAGUCCAACCAUUAACCUAACACAGCCAAGUCCACUAAAGCACGUCCCUAAGCACCUCACCUGCACGUCUUUCAAACCCCCCCAGGGAUGGUGAUUCCACCACUUGCCUGGGCAGCCUGUUCCAAUGCCUCACAACUCCUUCCAUGAAAAUUUUUUCCUAAUAUCCAACCUAAACCUCCCCUGGUGGAACUUGAGGCCGUUUUGUCUCAUCCUACCACCUGCUACUGGGGAGAAGAGACCAACCCCCUCCAUGCUCCAGCCUCCUCAGGCAGUUGCAGAGGGCGAGAAUGUCUCUCCUCAGCCUCCUGCUCUCCAGGAUAAACAACCCCAGACCCCUCAGCCUCUCCUCAUAGGACAGAGAUUAACAACUCAGUCCUCAAAGAAGCUGAGGAAAUCAACCAACUGCUUUCACCACAACCAGUGGAACAACAUGGUGAAAUGCAGUGCAACAGGUCUACAAGCCCAGCUCUGCAACCUGUGCUUCACCUCAGCUCCUUAUCACAGAUGUACCUGUUCUCUUGCAUGAGGUCUUUGAUCUGAGCCAAAAUCCACUCCACUUCUGAAGAGGAAUCGGACCACAGCUCUCGAGACUUCGACACAGACUGCACAGUCUGCAUAACCUGCAGGAAAGAAAAAGCCAAACAUUAAUGGCAAAUAUGCUCGUGGUGGACAGAAAGUCAUUUCUAUGAAGAGAAGAUGCAUAUGCCACAUGUAUUUCAUCAAUAGCACUUCAAAUACUCACUAAAGUUCCCCUUCCUAGCAGCAUAUUAAAAAUUAAUAUAAACAAUGUCGUACUUCGAAAAGGACUGCAUUAAAAAGGCAGCGUCACCAAGGCAUCACAGUCCGGACGUGCUCAUUCUGGUUCUAAACCUUGCCCUCCCUGACUUCAGCACAAACCAGGACAGAUUUUGAAUCAUUAACUUCACAUGUGGGCUGGGGAUGAGGCUUCCUACUUGGGACACAGUUUUGCCAGUCAUGUUAUGCAUACAGGAAAUCAAAACGUCAAAUCGACACAGCCAUCUAAGCAACCUGAGAUGCUGAGAGCAUCUGAUGAGUGGAAGCAACACACAAACCAGACUACCAAGUUGUACCAAGAAUGGAAGAGAGAAUAUGGAAGGUUAGUACUCAUGUGAAAGCCAGUGAUUUCUUGGUUUGAUUUAUAUGUUAUCUGGGUCUGUCCAGUAGGGCAAGACAUGUCUUCUACUUCUGCUCACAACCUACGCAAGUAACAAUUCUCUCCUCACCACCGCCUAUAAAAUACUGGUAUGAAGCACGUUACAUCACCAAGUAUCUAGCAGAUUCUUUUUGGAAGACAGUAACUACUGAGAGAAAAUAAAUUAUUUUUCCUACCAGGUAGGAAUGUAAUGUAAAAUGAGAAUGGAAAACCAAGGUGUGGUUUUCAUGACUGUGAUUAGCUCUCUUCACCUGCAUCUGCAAAGCUACCACUGCAUGCAAAAGAGACUUUAAUGACAAAUCAAGUAUAAACACAUGACCUAAAGUGACUGAAGAACCUGUAGCCUACCCAUACAAAUAAUCAGACAAGAAAGUCCACAGUCCCCAUGACAAAGCUUAUUUUAUCCUAGAUUACGCCUUACAAAUUUACAUAAAUUUUUAAGUAUAAUAAGUAGUUAACAAAAUAGCUAGAGAAGUAUCUGUAUCAGAGACCGUACAGUUACACUGUUAUGCAGAUGACUCUGAAGCACUGAUAAGAUAUCCCUUCUGUAUCACUGACACUUCUGGACAGAUUCUGACUGGGGAGGAUGCUAAAGGGAGAAAAAAGGGAUCCCUACAGUUAAAUGAAAUAAACUCCUGGCACGGCACCCGAGUCCUGCUCAGGCAUUUCAACCGAGGCCUGUCCACGAGCAGCAGCUCCGCGGACUUAGUGCCCCGAGCAGGGAAGGGGAAGAACACAAUGUGCUGAUGAUCAGACUGCACUUACCCGAAACUGCUCAUUCUUGUAGGAUAUCAGUACAUCUCUGACUUUUUCUGGAAAUAAACAUAAAUAGAUAGUUUAAACAGGGAAUGGAUCAACUAUAAAAGAGAAUUCUGUACCUGGGCAAGCUGCUUUGUUCUGCCAAUUAUGCACUCAAGGAAGACAUCAGUCAAGUGAAGUAAUAAAUCCUGAUUCAGACAACACUGAUGACUCCCAUAGCUUCCAGACUCUGCCAGCAACAUUAAUUUUAUCAAGAGGUUGAUGCAGGAGUUCAGUAUUUUAUCACUAAUAGCAGCCAAAGACAAGCAAGUUCAAUAAAUCCAGAAGAUCCAAAAAAAUGCCUAAAUAGAUCAGCUUAAAAGAAAUUGUUCCUAUUGGCAGUUCAUGUUCUGAUGUGUAUUUGUAUUCCUUAUACUCUAUUCCUUAUACUCUAUUCCAACUGCACUGUGGCUGUUCGCAAACCAACAGUAUGCUUCUCGGACUUCACGAAACCCGAAUUUACCAUCUGCAUGAAAUGUCUUUUCUCUACAUGUUGACCACUUUUACUGUACCUGAAACAGCACUGUCUUUCAAAGCACUUUGCCAUUCAGGUGUCACCGUCACCGGCUAUCAGGAUGCCCACCCACCCACUAUUGGCCAGAUAAAACUUCAGAUGCAUUUGAACUGUGGGACUGACACACCAUUGCCGUUCCAUUACUCCGGACACAUAAAUCACAGAAUCUACUGUAUUACUCUGUGGUUCUCUCUUUUGGCAACUGGGGUGGGGUGGUUUUUUUUUUAGAGAGAGGAAGGAAUAGCACGUGCUUGGAUCUCCUCCACGAAGUCGCACCAGACACACUCUCUUACAAGAGAAGUGCUUAGGUGCUGCUGCCUUCUGAAGUUUAGUACUGCCUCUCCAUUUGGAUUGUUAUAAUAAAUUCUGUAUUAAACUCAAAGCGCACAACAAAUUAGCUAAUAUCUUCUAGAUCACAGCUACUGUAUCUAUGUGUUAGUCUGUUAUAAAGGAAUCUAGAAAAGACUUGCAAGAAAUCCAUAGAUCCCAAAGGCAGAAAGAUCAUUAUAAUCACUUAGUGUGACUUUCCAGAGAGCAAUAAGGGUCACUUCAGGACUUCUGCACAAUCUCUGGACCUUGGACUGGGCUGCUGUAAUCGGUUGGGGGAAUAACUCCCCAUAAACAUGCCGUAUUUUGUCAGAAAAAUAUACGACUAAUUGUUUUCACUGUCUGAGGUACCGUUCGACACCUGACAUGCCUUGCAGAACAGCCAUCCAGCCUGAACGCCCAAGCCCACCAGCGAGUCAUUCACACCAGAAACCCGCUUUUGAGAAAAGCUCCGUGUUUUUGGUUCAAAGACUUGUGGUGAUGGAAAAGCAACCACUGGAACAAUUUACCAAAGUUUUCCCACUGUUUUGCACUUCAUAUCUUAGAUGAUGUCCAGGCUGAGUUACCUGUGGUUCUUUUGUUUAAUACAAUUGACAGCUUAUGAUUUUUCUGUCCACCUGCAAAAUAUUUUGAAACUUGAUGAGCUGCCUUUGUCCUGCUCUGGCUCUAGAUAUGAAUCGACAGUUUUGAGGGCUACAAAGGGACCACGGUCACCUUUGUCAGUAGUGGCCUCAAUAACAAAACUGUGGCUGAUUAGACACUACAAGUAAUUUUUAUAAUGUUUGGUCCUAAACCAUUCCAGUAUAAGCGUUGCUGCUAAUUAGGAACUGCAUAUUCAAUUGCAGUAAAAGGUUUUAUGCUACAAAUUCAGCGAGCUAACACCAAAAAAGUCAGUCACCCCAAGAACCCAGCAAGGUCCAAAGAGGAAUCCCAAAACCUGAGCUGAAGAUGACACCUUCAAACUGCUUCCUCCAGCACGAGACAGAUCUAAUCCUUGUAUCUGCCCUUGUUCUAGGGACACUUGCCAUGGAAUUCCUUGUGUUUCUGACAGGCCUCAUGCUGUGGGGUUUGAAUCUCCCACGCAUCACUGUCCAGCUCGGCAUUUGCUUCCACCCCCUCCUGCUCCUCGUCCUCGUCCUCGCUUUCUUCACACAAGUUAUUGCCCAGCUGACGACUCCAAUACGUCUUUCGUAGCCACUCCAACACAACAUCACAACCUAAGGGAGAACAGAAAACAUUCUCUUCUCAGGGACGUUUUCUUUGUUACUAGAAAAAAAAAGCAUACAGGUGGCACAUUGCUAACCUGCAUUGUGAAAAGAAAUGCUGUUGACAAGUUACAAACCCUGAAAUCACAUACAAUUCCAUUAAUGAAAAAGUGAAUGAGGGUUUUUUUUAAAUAACACAACAAAAAAAACCCUACAACCUGUUACCAAGGUGUCGCGGUUGAGACGGACAAACAACAUAGACCAAAUGCUUAAGUACAAACAGCAGCCUCCAUUUAUUGCCACAAAUGCCCUUUUAUGUAGUCUUUACCAGCUCAUGUGUCUUUUUGCUAUUGGUUACAGGCUGCAAUAGUAACAUCUCGUUGGCUAAUUUUGCUGUUGUCACUGUUACUCUUUUACUCCCUUCUCUCUCACAGGUACACCUUAAUACCUCCAGAUACUCUUUUACUCCCAUCUUUCUCAUGCGCAGACCUUAAUAUCUUCAAAGCUAAUUUCUGUUCCCAUACCCUCCUUCGGGGAAUCCACAGAUCCACCGUGGUUUCCCACAUCACGGGCCUGGUAACACCCACCCACUGCCUUUUUGGCAACAAAAAGGACUGGACACCGCUACAGCGCUGCACCUUCUUCAAGUUAGGCCACAUUUAAGCAGAAACUAAGUCCCAGCAGGAGAGUUCUGAUAAGAAAAUGAGUCAAUUCUUUAGUGUCACCAUGACCAACAUGGUGUCUAUAAUAGUAACGUUAAUUUUUUGUGCAGAGAUGACAUUAGGGGUAUAUUAGAAUGUAAAGAAAACCCCUUUUCUCCCAUCACUGUUUUCAGUAUCCAACUCAGUCUAAGGACCCUGACGAAGGUUGUUUAACUGGCUCCUCAGUGCUUAACCCCAAAUUCCCAGGAAUUCCUUCAAAUGCCAAGAGCUGGCGAUUCAGACUUAUAGUACCUACUGCACUUCUUCCUAAAUGGGAUUUUUUUUAAGUCUCAGGAGUCUCUAAACCAUCAGGAAAAGCAUUUACCUCCUUCCCAAGAUGAACUUCCUGUGCUAUAAGGAAGCAAGAGGGCUGAACUAUUGUUUCCAGUAUUUUUUCCAAGGGAAGGAAAGUCUCUGAGCACCUGCCCUGUGACGCACCAGAGGCUGGAGCCACCGCACACAGCUCAGCUGUCCCCCCGGGCCAGUGACAAGCCCCCCCGGUGCCUCACUCCAUGCUGUCCCUGCCAGGACCAGCCCACGGCUCGUCCCACACCCCCCAGAACGGUGGCGGUGCUCCCCCAACCCCCCCCGGCACCGGCACCCUGGUCACCGCCAGCAGCACUCACCCCUGCGGCACAGAGCCAGGUGCGGCAGCUUCCCGUGGGUCAGCUCAUGGCGGAGAUCCACCACCCAGAUGGGGAUGUCCACCUGCAAGAACAGCCGCAGCGUCACCCGGCUCCCUGUGCACGCCGCCAGGCUGCACAACCGCUGCCUCUUCGGGCGGCUCCUGCGCCGCAGCACGCAGGGCUGAGAGCCCCUCGAGCCCCCCUCCGGCCUCGCGUCCCACAAACUGGGGAUGCUACAGGGGAAGUUCUUCCAUGUUACUUGCAACAGCAGAUGUCUUUUUAGACAGAGGUGCUGUGUGUAAUUUAGCAAGAUACUGAGAAGCAGUUAAAUUAUAUUUAAACCGAUGAAAUGUUCUGGAUGACAGUUUGUGUAUCAAAGAUACAAACCAUGUCAUAUAUAAUACACAAAUCAUACACACUCUAGGUUGCGUGCAAUUUUUUUGCAAUUUUCCUAAGGACAGCCAACCUAAAUUAUGCAAGAUCUCUGUUUUUAAGCUUGAUCAGUUUUCAAUGGUGAGAAGCAGCACCUUUCUUAGAAACCCAGAAAAAAACACAAUCAAUUCACCAUUGACACAGACAAGGCUGCAUAUAUAGGAGAGUCCCAAAUACUGUCUUUUCUUAAUUUUCAAAACUUCCUGUUCAGACCCAGAUAUGAUGCUCAGUGCAGCUGGCAAUAAAAGGACUCAAGCUGGUCCUGCUACUAGAGACACUGUGACCCUUCCCUCCUCCGCAGACCUCACUUCAAGCAACAGGCACAAGAUGAAAAUGCCUGCAAAUGUGAUUAAGGGUUUUUUAAUACAAAAAUCUGCUUGUCAAAGACUACAAUUUAUAAACCAUGAAUUUAACUCUUUUUCCAUAUCUCAGUAGCUAAGGAAAAUAAAGAAGUGUGGCAUAUGUGUCAAGUGGGACUAUUUACACGCAAAUCAAGACUUUUGAUCACAUGAUUCAAAAUGUUUUAAUGAUAAUCAGCCUUUGUUACUCUUAAUCUGACUUUAAAGAACAAAGUUUUAGAACUAGUUACAUCAAGCCUCUUUAAAAUUUUGCAUUUGGAAAGAACUGGCAUCUAUAACCACUACUUCGGUUACAAAGGAAUGACCCCCCACUACUCCCUCCACCCAGUGUUGUUAACAGACAAUGCAUAUGCUCUCUGUAUAUACAUAAGUUAUGCAGAAACUCUUAUGAAACAUUUACCUCUCUGGCUAAUUGUCUCAGCGGAAUGCUGACCAUCUUCUGUUUCCUUUCUGUGAUCAAGUUGACAAAUCUGCACACAGGUAACAGGCAAGAUAAAUGACCACCAAGAGCUGCAAAGAAUCCUGGAACCCCAGAGACAAAACCCCCCGUGGUCCCAAAGAUGCAAAGUGAAAUCAGACAGCUGAACAAUCCACUGCCCAGGUCUCUCUCCGGCCCCCAGAGUCCUCCCUACCUCACAAGCGCCAGCCCAUAGGAGAGGAUGAGCUCAUGCGACUUCAACCUGCCGGAUGAAUCCAGGACCUUGCAGCGAAUCAGUUCGGCAGUGCAAUCCACUGCAAGCGGCAUUUUGGGACCAUACCUGGAGAUGAAGGAAAAGCGGGUGAGCGGCCUCUCAAGAGUACAGUCCCUCUGCAAAAGGUGUGCCUCUCCUGCUGCUUUUUGUGCUCUGUGGUACACAACAGCCUAAGAACACCGUGCAGAAGGACAGCAUCAACGAAUCUUUCCAGAAGGCUUUUAUGUGGAACAGCACGAUCACAUGGCUCCUGCUACGCAUAUUUUAAAUGAGCACUUACUGACACGCUAAGCACACAGACAAUACAAGACGCCAAACCGAGACUAGUCUUGCGUGUGGGUGCAGUACGACCAACACAACCAGAACAAGGCGAUUUGGGCCCCCGGGUGCGCACCCUGCAGCCUCUGCCUCGAGAAACGCGCGGGCUCGCAGGGCCUGUGCCCCCGCCGGCCCGGCCAGGCUGCGCUGCGCCCCGGGGCCGCGGCACGGGGAGCCCGCCACCGACAGGGGCUGCCCCCGGCGGCACCGGCCACCGCCGCGCACAGCCCGGGCCGGGGAAGCGGGGCGCCCGGGGACAGCGGCCGGGAGGCAGCGCGGCCCCGCGGUCCCACAGCGCGGCCCCGCGGUCCCACAGCGCGGCCCCGCUCGCGGUCCGCGGCCCGUACCGACUCUUCCAGGCCGAGACCCGGUCCAGCGCCUCCUGCUGCAGACGGCUGUCCCCGCAGUACAGCCCCACCAUCACCUGGUCCCACUCCGCCCGGCCCCUCCACGCCACCACAGUCCGCAGCGGCUUGAGCCGCUUGCGGGCCGGGGACGAGCACCGCCGGCCGCGGGGAGAGCCCGGCUCCGCACCGCCCGCCAUGCCGCUGCCUCUGGCCCGCCGCUCCCUGCGCUGCGCCUGCGCCGCGCCGAGCCGAGCCGAGCCGAGCCGAGCCGAGCCGAGCCGCGCCGAGCCGCGCCGAGCCGCGCCGAGCCGAGCCGAGCCGCGCCGAGCCGCGCCGAGCCGAGCCGAGCCGAGCCGAGCCGAGCCGAGCCGAGCCGAGCCGCGCCGAGCCGCGCCGAGCCGAGCCGAGCCGAGCCGAGCCGAGCUUCCGGCUCCCGCCCCUGGCGAGCUGGGUGGUGGCCGCGGUGCUUUGCGGGUGGGCGGCGGAGGGUGCGGGUUUUGCUGCAGCCUCGGCGGUUCUCGGCCCGCCUGGCAGCGCCGGGCUCGCCCGAGGGCUGCAGGACUCGUCUCCCGGGUGGGUGGGAUCCCCCCAGCGAUGGUCACAGCCGGGAGGCGCUUUGGGUGUUGUGAAGGCGAUGCGGGACGGACGCGUCCUGCUCUGUUCUGGGGCGGUGGGGUGUGUUUGGGGUCCGGGUGGAGGGGAAGGGCGGCCGGGGGGCUGCAGGGCAGGCUGCUGCUCCUGGGGGCCCGGACCUCCCAGCCUUGGCUGUGUGCAUUUGCGCUUGCAGAACAGUCAACCGCUCGGCUUCCCAGUAGCAGCACUUCACAGAUCUUGACAGCAGGCUGAAUCAUUAAAUUGUCCAAGUUAUAAAUUGUCUUAUCUUUGGAGGCUUUUUUUUUUUUAAACUUCUCUCUUCACAGAACCCCAGAGUGUCAGGGGUUGAAGGGGCCUGGAAAGCUCAUCCAGUGCAAUCCCCCAUGGAGCAGGAACACCCAGAUGAGGUUACACAGGAAGGUGUCCAGGCGGGUUGGAAUGUCUGCACAGAAGGAGACUCCACAACCCCCUGGGCAGCCUGGGCCAGGCUCUGCCACCCUCACCAGGAACAAGUUUCUGCUCAAAUUUAAGUGGAACCUCUUGUGUUCCAGUUUGAACCCAUUACCCCUUGUCCUAUCACUGGUUGUCACCGAGAAGAGCCUGGCUCCAUCCUCCUGACACUCACCCUUUAUGUAUUUAUAACCGUUAACAGGGUCACCCCUCAGUCUCCUCUUGUCCAGCUCCAGACCCCCAGCUCCCUCAGCCUUUCCUCACACGGGAGAUGCUCCACUCCCUCCAGCAUCUUGGUGGCUGCGCUGGACUCUCUGCAGCAGUUCCCUGUCCUGCUGGAACUGAGGGGCCACAGCUGGACACAAUAUUCCAGGUGUGGUCUCCCCAGGGCAGAGCAGAGGGGCAGGAGAACCUCUCUGACCUACUGACCACCCCCUUCUAACCCACCCCAGGUCCCAUUUGCCUUCCUGGCCACAAGGGCACAGGGCUGGCUCAUGGUCACCCUGCUGUCCCCAGGACCACCAGGUCCCUUUCCCCUACACUGCUCUCUAAUAGGUCAUUCCCAGCUUAUACUGGAACCUGGGGUUGUUCCUGCCCAGAUGCAGGACUCUAACUGACCUGUUGCAUAAUCCCAGGAAUACACUUGUGUCAGAGGUCAGAAACAAAACAUGGGAUGGGCAAAAGCACUGGAGGUGGCAGCCUGCAGGAGUUACUGACACUGGUGUUGCUAGUGGAAAAGGUAAUGCUGCAGGUUCUGGUGCUGGCUGCAGCACGGAACAGCAGCUUGGUCUUUUCCAAGGCUGUCAGGACUUUACAGUAGCUUAAGCUCUUUUGUUCAAUAGUCUGAAGCAAGUGUUUGUUUGCAAAACUGCUUACAUCCUCACCAGCUUUUUAUGAACAUUCUCUGAAGAAAUGCUUAUACUGGAAAGCUUGAACUCCUUUUAUAUUCUAGCACAAAUGCAGUUAAUGAAGGCCCCGCUAAUUUAGGCUGAUGAGUAUGCCUGAGUGCGUGGUUGAGACUGUGUGCAUCUGAAUACGAGUGAAUGGGAAAAAUCAUGCAAAUUCUGCCCUGUACAAAAUAUUGCAUUAAAUGCCAAAGAUUAUGGGAAAGAAAUGCUGAAUGAAUCAUCUUAAAAUACCAUAUUUGAAAAAUGCCUCAGUUCAUUACAGUUUCAGUCUCUUCGCCCUUGUGUCCCUCCAGUCGAGUCUACCUUGUUCUUCGGUUUUGAUAAAUGUAGGCCAAUUGUCACAACCAGUAAGCAAUCGCAUUGUGCAUCACUUGUUUUGUAUGUUCUGUUUUUAUUAUUUUAUCUUCCUUUGCUGUCCUAUCAAACUGUUCUUACCUCAAACCACGAGUCUGUGCGGUUUUUCCUUUCCAAGUCUCUCCUCCAUCCCACGUGAGGCGGGAGGAGUGAGCGAGCAGCUGUGUGAUCCCAGUUGGCUGGAGUUAAAUCCUGACGCUCCAACAAUGCCUCAUGUAGUGAAAGUGAAUUCUCAGAAGACGUGAGGAAGGGACAAAACUUGGACCAGGGCCCUGUUCUCUGGGAAUGGAGUUGCGCUUUUCAUCUGCUUAAAAAUGUUCUGAAAGGACAAGCUGUUUACUGCAAUCAAAGGGUCUUAUUCAGAGCGUAGGAACACCAUGUGUCAUUUUGCUUGCCAGACUAUUUCUGGGUUUCAGAAAUGACCUGCAGUACAAAGGCUGUAAAGGCAAACAGUGCAGUGCUGUGGAACAGAUAGGAUACAUCAAACUCGACUAGAUCACCUGCUUCCGGAGCUUCAGAGAUGUAUCAGAAAUUAAAUUAAAAGGAGUAGUUUUCAUUCUUAUUCUCUCUGGAGAGGGAGAAAGAUGUGUUUGUGUGUCUGUUACAGAGAUGGAAGGGAGCAAGGGCUGAACCAGCACAGAGUGCAGAUGCUUCGUGUGCUCGCGGGUCUGGAUCCAGGGGAACGGUGCUGAGGCCAUGCUGGCGAGGUCAGGCUGCUCGGCUGCUCGGGGCGGAACCGCGAGGUAAAGGGCAGAGACGGCUUGUUGCCCACCGUGUCCCACACAAGCCUGGCAGCAGUCUGCCGUUCAGGCUCCUGCACCUUGCCGUGGUGGUGGCCGAGGGAAGAGGCCGGGACGUCUGCGGCGUCUGCGGCGGGAGGCUGGGGCGCUGUGAGCAGAGCAGCGGGUGGCGGAGCAGCUGCCGUGUGUCCGGGCUGGUGGCCGUGUCCUUGUUGGAGCGUUGUUCUCCGGAGCGGGGAGCAGCUGCUGACAGCGCGGGACCGAGGGAGAGGGGCCUCUGCAUCUCCUCACUGCUAUUGGCUGGGUUUGGUUUUGGCAUCUAUGAGACUUGAGCUUUGGAGACCAGCCAUGGAACAUCCUGUUUUCACUGGAUUUGUUUCUGUUCUUCCCAGUCUCUUCUCCUUUCUUCUGGUUGCAGAGUUGCUGUAAUAGCACCAAGAGAUCCUCGGUUCCCCUCCUUUAGAAUAAUGUCAUAAAGCAGGCCUUGAGUUUCUUCCAGCUAUGUUGGAUUUUGAAGAGCGAAAGAGAGAGGGGAUGUAUGACAGGAGAUAAGCAACUGAACGUGGAACAUGCUUUCCAACGCCAGAGGCCGUGGCAGCAGGUUCUGGUGUUGUCCUGAGGUGUCAGCCAGCCCCAGAGGAGGAGGCAGCAUGUUCUGCAUUCCUAUCUAGUCCAGGAAUCCUGCGUAUAGAUUCCAGGUAAACAAGAACCUAUGAGGACCUGCACCUCCCUCACAGAUGGAAGGCUCCAAGGAAAAAGUCAUCCUGAAUAUUGGAGGGGUCAGAUACACGACAUACAGCAGCACCCUCCGGACCUUCCCAGGGACCAAGCUGUGCAGCCUAACUGAGCCCCAUGCCCCAAGCACCUACGACUAUGAUCCCACUACCAAAGAGUUCUUUUUUGAUAGGAGUGCUGAGAUCUUCAGCUACGUGUUGAACUAUUAUAGGACCAAACACUUCCACUGUCCCGUUGAUACCUGUAGGUCAGUCUUAGAAGAAGAGCUGGCUUUCUGGGAAAUCAAUGAGGCGCAGCUAGCACCCUGCUGCUGGCUGAAGCUGCAUAACAGAGAGGUGCAGCCAGAGGAGGCUGACAUUUGGGAUGAAAAUGAACAGACUGAUGACCAGUGCCUCAUAGUCCAGACAGAAAGAAGGGAUUUCAGCUGGCGAACCAGGUGGCAGCCAAAGAUUUGGUCUACGUUUGACAAACCCUUCUCCUCUUUCAGCGCUAAGUGCGUGGCGUUUGUUUCUCUGCUGUUCAUCGUUGGAAUUGUCAUCAUAUUCUGUGAGGAGACCAAGGCACAGUUUGAGCUCUUUGCUGCCAACUCCACCUCUGUUGGCUAUUCUGAAGCCUCUCACAACAGCCAUGAACACUUUUACCACCAGGCUGCCUACUUGCUUCAUCUGGAGCUUUUCUGUGUCCUCUGGUUUACUUUUGAGUUCUCUGUGCGAUUUUGUUUCUGCCCAGACAAGAAGCUGUUCUUCCAAAAUCCCCUGAACGUGGUUGACUUCCUCUCCCUCUUUCCAGUUUAUAUCGAACUCUUUGUGGCUGGGCAGAUUCAGAGGAUGCCAAGCCUGGGGCUGUGGUUGGGCCUUGUUCGCAUUGUCUAUCUCCUCAAACUCCUGAAGAUAUCCAAGCUGAUAGAAACGCCACUGAUCCUCAGAGUUCUGUGCUACACCCUCAAGUCUAUCCUCAGAGAGAUUUGCAUCCUGCUGAUGAUUUUGGCCUUUGAGACACUCUUCUUUGGCUCUCUCUUUUUCUACGGGGAGCUGCUGGGGAGCCAUCCCUCCUACACAGGGGAGCUGCACUUUGCUGACAUUCUUCUUUGCUUCUGGUGGGCUCUGAUCACGCUCACCACGGUGGGCUAUGGAGAUAUCAUCCCUCUCACCACAGCUGGCCAAGUGACAGCAGCCUUAGCUGCAGUGUUCGGCAUGUUAACUGUUAUCAUCCCAAUACCCAUUUUCAUGGUGAAAUUUAGAAGCUAUUAUGACAUUGCUAUCUUUAAACAGAAGCUGAAAAGGAGGAAGAAGCAUUAACACUUCAGAACCUCUAUUCCCCUUUGCCUUUAGCAACGAAUCUUUGUUAUGGUUUAUUCCCUUUGCUGGGAAGAGAGUGCAAACAGUUCUCACUUUUAUUUGCUGCUUUAGUGUAUUUCAAACCAUUGGCAAGGCCUCAGUUGCAGCACUUGGUACACAGCUGAUCAGUUCCGUUGAAUCCCAUGGGUCAUUCCCACAUUGCACUUCAUCCCCUGCUCUUUUAUAUGCCACAGUUUCUCAUGUAGCUGUUUGGAGACGGGCCGUGAUGCUGCGUUACAGCCUGAAUGUGUGCCGCAUGGCUCGGUUCCAUGGCCUGGAGCCACAGCGUGCUCCCGCAGCCGGCGUUCGGCCUCCGCCACCGCAGGCCCCAACCGCACUGCGCGUGCUGGGGGAGAGGCCUUGUGCGCCGUCCUGCUCUCACAGCCAGGAGGAAGCGUGCUAAUUUCUUUUCAACAGUGUUUUGUUUUCCUGUUUUACCUAAACAAGGCCGUGCCUCUGAUUUGCCAGCACGCGCAUCCGGACGUGGAGGAGGCUGCAGGGAGCUGACGGUGCUCCCGGGGCCGGCUCGGGGUGACAACCCACUCUGUGCGCCACGGGAACCCCCGGGCAUUCGGGUGGCAGCGAGGGAGCCCUGUGGCAGCAAACUCCUUUUGGCUCUGCUGGACUCAGCGGCAGCCUGUGCCUGAGAUCAGCGUUUCACUGGACACUUCCAGUGGCGCAGCACAUUUCAGCCGUUCUUGAUUUUUAUGUAACAGUCACUGGGCUAUUAGACAAAAUAUCUACAUGUUUUUGUCGUUCAAAGGGAAGAACACAAACUACAGUACUCGAUAUAAUUUUAAGGUUAUUUCAUUUCUCAAGGCAUGGAUAUAAGCUAGGAAUAUUUAUCUUUUAACUGGAUUGUGUUGUUACCUAUGUUUUAUUUUGAAUUAACAAAUAUUAUUGAGGUAUGAAAAAACCCACCUCCCUUUGUUUAUAUAGCAGGAUGAUAUGCUAAGAUUAUUUUGUUGAGUAAGUAAACAUUUCUGUAUACAAUAA
Molecule: RNA transcript, 20362 nt
Organism: Columba livia (rock pigeon)
Lineage: Eukaryota; Metazoa; Chordata; Aves; Columbiformes; Columbidae
Gene: ZC3H12B
Gene name: zinc finger CCCH-type containing 12B
Exons: 11
Source: RefSeq, a predicted model, not a curated record